UGUUUUAAUGUAUUUGAUGUUAAAACAUUGUAUGAUUCAGCAUGAUUUUAGUUGGUUAACAAUAUGUUUUUUAUGUUUAAAAUCCAUGUUGAAAAUCAUGUGUUAUUCUGGAAAUUAUUUUUUGGCCACUGCCAGUCAGACAAUCGAUUGUUGCCUUAAACAAUCGAUUGUUUGAGACGUUAAAUAUUCUGGCAGUUAUUUUGGAACACCGGACAAUCGAAUGUUAAAGCCUGACAAUCGAUUGUUCAGGUCCAGUGAGUUGAAACGUUUUUUAAUUAUACCAUACAAUCGAUUAUCUAUUGUAG
RNAcentral lists this long non-coding RNA (305 nucleotides) under Nicotiana benthamiana. RNAcentral describes it as "long non-coding RNA (NBEN_LNC001803)". Lineage: Eukaryota; Viridiplantae; Streptophyta; Magnoliopsida; Solanales; Solanaceae. The record is from RNAcentral.